This 467-nucleotide ribosomal RNA is filed under the name uncultured bacterium. Its description in RNAcentral is "partial 16S ribosomal RNA". It matches the Rfam family "Bacterial small subunit ribosomal RNA", at positions 28 to 507 of the family's 1533-position model. The record is from RNAcentral.
GACGAACGCUGGCGGCGUGCUUAACACAUGCAAGUCGAACGGAAAGGCCUCUUUCUGGUUGUACUCGUGUGGCGAACGGGUGAGUAAAACGCGAGUAACCUGCCCCUGACUUUGGGAUAACUUCAUUAAACAGGGGCGAAUACCGGACAGAAGAUCCUUUUGCACGUGAGGACUUGGAAAGUUUCGGCGGUUGGGGAUUGACUCGCGGCUUAGCAGCGUGUUGGUGGGGUAGUGGCUUACCAACGCUUUGCCGGGUCGCCGGCCUGAGAGGGUGAACGGCGCCAAGGGGACUGAGAGACGGCCCAGAAUGGUACGGGAGGCAGUAGUGGGGAAUCUUGCACAAUGGGUGGACGCGUGAUGAAGCAGCGCCGUGUGCGGGAUGACGGCUUUCGGGUUGUAAACCGCUUUCGCUGAUGACGAUGCACUGUGUGACGGUAGUUGGUCAAGAAGCACCGGCUAACUACGUG